This is a non-coding RNA of Osmia lignaria (orchard mason bee), 3068 nucleotides long. Lineage: Eukaryota; Metazoa; Arthropoda; Insecta; Hymenoptera; Megachilidae. The record is from RefSeq and is a predicted model, not a curated record.
ACUGUUAUUCCGCCCCUGAUUGCACAUUGAAACACUUGCAGUGCGCAGAAUAUCCACGACAAGUGUCGUGGCAGACGUCUGCUGCAUCAGUUGUUAAAUAGUAUGUAAUAGUAACAUGAAACGUAACAUUUGUAUAAAUGUCUGGUUUUUAUGGAUCUGACAUUGAAACUCUAAAAAAUGUCUAGGAAGCGUGUGAGAGAAGAAAUUAUGUUGAAUUCUACACCAUAUUCAGAUAUUCAGAAUGGGGAAGAUGCAUCAUGCUCGAAAGAAGAUUCUCCCAUUUGUCCUCUGGUGACAAUGACUUGGGGGACCAACAGGAAUUCAAAUAAUGAAUCAAGUCAAAUUUCACUAAAAAAGUGUAAUAGUGAAAUUUUUGUUAACCACAAAGAACUUCCAUCAAUCUGUAAUGAAGCUCCUUUCAGUGAUGAUCCAGAAGCACUAGCUGAAAGAAAUGCAUGUGAUUAUAAUAUACGCAUUACAUUGAAAAUGGCAAAAAAUGGCAAAGCACCAAGGAGAAUCAGGGUAUAUGCAGAUGGUAUUUAUGAUCUAUUUCAUCAAGGACACGCGCGGCAACUUUUACAAGCAAAAAAUAUUUUCCCUAAUGUAUACCUUAUUGUUGGAGUUUGUAAUGAUGAACUAACACACAGUAAAAAAGGCAGAACAGUCAUGACAGAUACUGAAAGAUACGAUGCAGUAAGGCAUUGUCGUUAUGUAGAUGAAGUAGUUAGGGAUGCACCUUGGGAAUUGGAUGAUGAGUUUCUUACAAAACAUAAGAUUGACUUUGUUGCUCAUGAUGAUAUACCCUAUAUGACAGAUGACAGCACAGACGUUUAUGCAAGUUUGAAAGCUAAGGGUAUGUUUGUAGCUACUCAAAGGACAGAAGGAGUGUCAACAUCAGAUAUUGUAGCAAGAAUAGUCAAAGAUUAUGAUAUGUAUGUAAGAAGAAAUCUUGCACGAGGUUACAGUGCCAAAGAGCUCAAUGUUUCUUUUCUCAGUGAAAAGAAAUUCCGUUUACAAAAUAAAUUUGAUGAUUUGAAAGAUAAGGGUAAACGAGUUAUGGAGAACAUUGGUGAAAAACGUAUGGACAUAAUUAGUAAAUGGGAAGAAAAAUCUCGAGACUUUAUAGAUGCUUUUCUUCUACUGUUUGGAAGAGAAGGCAGAUUGUCGACAAUUUGGAAUGAAAGUAAAGGUCGUUUAAUGCAAGCACUAUCUCCUCCAGCAAGUCCCAAAAGAGAUGGCAGUCCAAAUGGGAGUAAUAGCAGCAAUAAUGAUGAAGAUCAGACAAGGUACAUCACAGCAUUUGAGUCCAUUGACUAACAUGCAACACCACUUCAUUCUGUACUGCUUCUAUAUGAAAACCUUCAAUACUUCACACCACCCAUUUGCAGCAUGUUAUUCCACCACCGCAAAAGACUGGUCGUUAUGAAUGUUCACGGAAUAAUUAUUAUUUGAGUGAUGACUAUAGCGAUGACGAAGAGGAAAACUUACACUCUAAAUGAUAACCCGUGUUGUCACAAUCGUAUUCUUCAUUCUGACCAAAAAUGUCGUGCAAUCUCUUUAAAAAUGUUUAAAGAUAUUUUCAUACAGCUAUGUGAUUUGCUGAUAUGGAUUUUAAUGCUGUGCUUGAUAGUCUUUCUAUGGUAUGAUUUCAUACUAUAUACAAUAUAAAAUUAUUAUCUGUUAUGGCAUAGAAAUUGAAUCCGAUUAUGGAUUAUUAUAUACAAAUUAAUAUACGUAUUAUGCAUGAAUUACAUACAGAAAUCACAUAGAUUAUUUAAAACAUCAUCUGCAACUAUUCUGGGGAGUUUCUUCAUUAUCAUUAUUUGCAUUCUUAAUAAUAAGUUCCUAUGUUUUGAAAGAUACUUCAUUAUUCAAUUUCGAUUUCAUACUUCAUUACAUGAAUUUACAAUAGUCUGGAGGUACUUUUUCAUACUUUAUACAGAAAAAUUUGUUUCGUAUGUUCAUUUGAUGAUUUUCAAUAAUAAUAAUCAAUUAUUUUAUUCCUAAUUUUAUAUAACAUUUUUUACAAGUUACCUCAUAAAUAAUCGUUUAAAUGUUACAUAUAUAUAGAUAUAUUGCAAGCAAUAUUUUUUGUUGCAGUAAGUAUUAAGUUAUGUUAUAACUUAUUACUGAUGUAAUCAAUGGUACCAAAAUGUAAAGUAGCGAAAAAUUCGUCGAAUAUUAUAUAAAUUUUAUUUAAACGUACCAAGGAGAUUACAAAAGUGAAUAGCACAGAACAAAUUUAAAUGUAUUAUUUUACAGAUGAUUAGCUUAGUUAUGCAUUAUUUAUUUUAAAAAACAAAUUCACUCGUUUUUAGCAUUCAGUGUUAUCUUUUGAGAAAAUAAUUAUUCGAGCAGCAAAUUAAUAAUAACUUAUUUUUAUCAUUAGAUAAUUUUGUGUAGGAAGAUAUUAAUAGAAUUCGAUUGAUAAAAAUUAAUCAAAAUCAAUUAAAUAAGCAUUAUAAGAUGAUAUCAAUAUAGAAAUCGUGUUUUAAAUAUGGUGCUUUUAUUUAAAAAAUAUGCAGAUAUGAUAACCCUGAAAUGGUACAACCAUUUUUGUACUUUUAAAUCAUAACAUAGUUUUAUAAUAGCAUAUUUAUCAAGUAUGUGAAUGAAAUAUUUUUUAAUACAUAGGUAAAUGUAUAAUAAAGAUUAUUUAUUCUUAUGUUCAAUAUGUAGUAUCCAAAAUAAUGUAAUUUUUCACAUAAAUUGUCUAUUCCGUUUAUAGUUCUAAGGCUAAGGCUAAAAUUAGGAGAAUUUUAGAUUUAAAUCCAAAAAUGAAACUAAUAUGAAAGACCUGUAAAAAAUGUGUAUAGAUUUAUAUACAUUAAUAUGCUUUUGUUUCUUAAAAACGUACCGAUGGUGCCUGAGUUUGAGAUUUAUUUAAAUACAUCACAAAAUGGUAUAUUUCUUUAAAGCAUGCAAAAUUUUAAAUACAUUAAUAUUUGCUUCUUAAAAAAAGCUGGCACAUAACUUAAUAGCAUAUAAUAAUACAUCGUGUAUAUUUGAUGAUUAGACAGAAAGUUGUUCUGUAAUUAACAAUCUCAAAUAAUAUAAAAUUAUGUUCU